UUUUUCACAAUGACACCCCACUCCUUAAUUCUCAUCAUGCUGGCCUCCUUCUCUAGAGGUGGCCUCUCCCAGGUUGUCCUGACCCAGUCAGAUGCAGCACUGAAGAAACCAGGAGAAUCCCAUAAAUUGACUUGUGCUGUCACAGGAUUCAAUGUUAACAGCUACUGGAUGAAUUGGAUCAGACAGAAGCCUGGCCAAGGACUGGAAUGGCUUGUUUUCUACUACACAUCUAGUUACAACUAUUAUUCAUCAACAAUCCAAGGACGGUUUACAGCCUCCAAAGACAGUUCCAACUACUAUCUGCAAAUGAACAUCCUAAAAGCUGAAGACACAGCUGUCUAUUACUGUGCAAGCUCUCUUCAGGGAUUCAUUUCAGAAAGAUUCCUGGGAUUUCUUCCACGAGAAGCCAUAUUCUUCAUUAAAUUUUUUGAAUUGGAUGGAAUCUCCUCUCCUGCUAUUUUCUCCAAAUAA
This is a non-coding RNA of Thamnophis elegans (Western terrestrial garter snake), 471 nucleotides long. NCBI's taxonomy places the organism in Eukaryota, Metazoa, Chordata, Lepidosauria, Squamata, Natricidae. The record is from the annotation of a RefSeq genome assembly.